Molecule: ribosomal RNA, 264 nt
Filed under: uncultured bacterium
Lineage: Bacteria
Description: partial 16S ribosomal RNA
Rfam family: Bacterial small subunit ribosomal RNA
Source: RNAcentral
GUCCAUGCCGUAAACGAUGAGUGCUAAGUGUUGGGAGGUUUCCGCCUCUCAGUGCUGCAGCUAACGCAUUAAGCACUCCGCCUGGGGAGUACGACCGCAAGGUUGAAACUCAAAGGAAUUGACGGGGGGCCCGCACAAGCGGUGGAGCAUGUGGUUUAAUUCGAAGCAACGCGAAGAACCUUACCAGGUCUUGACAUCUAGUGCAAUCUGUAGAGAUACGGAGUUCCCUUGGGGGACCUAAGACAGGUGGUGCAUGGCUGUCGU